GACGAACGCUGGCGGCGCGCUUAACACAUGCAAGUCGAGCGAGAACCAGCCCUUCGGGGCUGGGGACAGCGGCGAACGGGUGAGUAACACGUGGGUAAUCUGCCCUCGGCACCGGGAUAGCCCGGGGAAACCCGGAUUAAUACCGGAUGGCCUUUCGAGCCCUCGGGCUUGAGAGAAAAGGUAGCUUUGGCCUCUGGCCGAGGAUGAGCCCGCGGCCGAUUAGCUUGUUGGUGAGGUAANGGCCCACCAAGGCGACGAUCGGUAGCUGGUCUGAGAGGACGAUCAGCCACACUGGGACUGAGACACGGCCCAGACUCCUACGGGAGGCAGCAGUGGGGAAUCUUGCGCAAUGGGCGAAAGCCUGACGCAGCG
Molecule: ribosomal RNA, 372 nt
Filed under: uncultured bacterium
Lineage: Bacteria
Description: bacterial SSU rRNA
Rfam family: Bacterial small subunit ribosomal RNA
Source: RNAcentral